RNAcentral lists this ribosomal RNA (253 nucleotides) under uncultured bacterium. RNAcentral's name for it is "partial 16S ribosomal RNA". It matches the Rfam family "Bacterial small subunit ribosomal RNA", at positions 524 to 776 of the family's 1533-position model. The record is from RNAcentral.
UACAGAGGGGGCAAGCGUUGUUCGGAAUUACUGGGCGUAAAGGGCGCGUAGGCGGCCUUCUAAGUCGAACGUGAAAUCCCCGGGCUCAACCCGGGAACUGCGUCCGAUACUGGAAGGCUUGAAUCCGGGAGAGGGAUGCGGAAUUCCAGGUGUAGCGGUGAAAUUCGUAGAUAUUCGCAAGAACACCAGUGGCGAAGGCGGCUCACUGGCCCGGAACUGACGCUGAGACGCGAAAGCGUGGGGAGCAAACAGG